CAUUUUCUUUCUACAGGACCCCACAUGACUAUCAUCGUUCCAUUUCAGCAGGAACAAAAUAACCAGAGCUGAAGAAUCGAAGACCCUUUGAGGAAACAGAGUUGGGGGAUUGAAGGCUGCAAGAGAAGCUGUGACAAUUGUUGCAAUAUGCUGUAAAUGUAUUAAAACAACAUAAUUGGACAAAACAUUAAAUAAAGGAAGUGAAAGGGA
Cricetulus griseus (Chinese hamster) is the source of this 210-nucleotide non-coding RNA. The record is from RefSeq and is a predicted model, not a curated record. Lineage: Eukaryota; Metazoa; Chordata; Mammalia; Rodentia; Cricetidae.